Molecule: ribosomal RNA, 460 nt
Filed under: uncultured bacterium
Lineage: Bacteria
Description: partial 16S ribosomal RNA
Rfam family: Bacterial small subunit ribosomal RNA
Source: RNAcentral
CCUACGGGAGGCAGCAGUGAGGAAUAUUGGUCAAUGGGCGGGAGCCUGAACCAGCCAAGCCGCGUGAGGGAAGAAGGUACAGCGUAUCGUAAACCUCUUUUGUCAGGGAACAAAGGCGGGGACUAGUCCCCGGAUGAGGGUACCUGAAGAAAAAGCAUCGGCUAACUCCGUGCCAGCAGCCGCGGUAAUACGGAGGAUGCGAGCGUUAUCCGGAUUUAUUGGGUUUAAAGGGUGCGCAGGCGGCCUGUUAAGUCAGCGGUAAAAGCCCGGGGCUCAACCGUAAAAUUGCAGUUGAAACUGGCAGUCUUGAGUACAGUAGAGGUGGGCGGAAUUCGUGGUGUAGCGGUGAAAUGCUUAGAUAUCACGAAGAACUCCGAUUGCGAAGGCAGCUCACUGGACUGCAACUGACACUGAGGCUCGAAAGUGUGGGUAUCAAACAGGAUUAGAUACCCGGGUAGUC